Molecule: ribosomal RNA, 253 nt
Filed under: uncultured bacterium
Lineage: Bacteria
Description: partial 16S ribosomal RNA
Rfam family: Bacterial small subunit ribosomal RNA
Source: RNAcentral
GACGGGGGCUGCAAGCGUUAUCCGGAAUCACUGGGCGUAAAGCGUCUGCAGGUGGUGAUGCAAGUCACUGGUGCAAAACUCUGGCUCAACCGGAGGAAAACCAGUGAAACUGCAUGACUAGAGUGUGGGAGAGGUAGAAGGAAUUCCCUGAGUAGCGGUGAAAUGCGUAGAUACAGGGAAGAACACCGGAGGCGAAAGCGUUCUACCGGAACACAACUGACACUGAGAGGCGAAAGCUAGGGGAGCGAAUGGG